GGUUAAGCGACUAAGCGUACACGGUGGAUGCCCUGGCAGUCAGAGGCGAUGAAGGGCGUGCUAAUCUGCGAUAAGCGCCGGUAAGGUGAUAUGAACCGUUAUAACCGGCGAUACCCGAAUGGGGAAACCCAGUGUGACUCGUCACACUAUCAUUAACUGAAUCCAUAGGUUAAUGAGGCGAACCGGGGGAACUGAAACAUCUAAGUACCCCGAGGAAAAGAAAUCAACCGAGAUUCCCCCAGUAGCGGCGAGCGAACGGGGAGGAGCCCAGAGCCUGAAUCAGCAUGUGUGUUAGUGGAAGCGUCUGGAAAGUCGCGCGAUACAGGGUGACAGCCCCGUACACAAAAGCGCAUGUGUUGUGAGCUCGAUGAGUAGGGCGGGACACGUGGUAUCCUGUCUGAAUAUGGGGGGACCAUCCUCCAAGGCUAAAUACUCCUGACUGACCGAUAGUGAACCAGUACCGUGAGGGAAAGGCGAAAAGAACCCCGGCGAGGGGAGUGAAAAAGAACCUGAAACCGUGUACGUACAAGCAGUGGGAGCCCCACCACCAAAGCAUUCUCUGGUGUUGAAGGCCCUGCAAAGCAGCAUCGCGGUGGCGGAGCGUCGUUUGCGACGCCCAACACAAAAAACAAGCGGUGAGUGCUUUGGGGUGGGGUGACUGCGUACCUUUUGUAUAAUGGGUCAGCGACUUAUAUUCUGUAGCAAGGUUAACCGAAUAGGGGAGCCGUAGGGAAACCGAGUCUUAACUGGGCGUUAAGUUGCAGGGUAUAGACCCGAAACCCGGUGAUCUAGCCAUGGGCAGGUUGAAGGUUGGGUAACACUAACUGGAGGACCGAACCGACUAAUGUUGAAAAAUUAGCGGAUGACCUGUGGCUGGGGGUGAAAGGCCAAUCAAACCGGGAGAUAGCUGGUUCUCCCCGAAAGCUAUUUAGGUAGCGCCUCGUGAAUUCAUCUCCGGGGGUAGAGCACUGUUUCGGCUAGGGGGCCAUCCCGGCUUACCAACCCGAUGCAAACUGCGAAUACCGGAGAAUGUUAUCACGGGAGACACACGGCGGGUGCUAACGUCCGUCGUGAAGAGGGAAACAACCCAGACCGCCAGCUAAGGUCCCAAAGUCAUGGUUAAGUGGGAAACGAUGUGGGAAGGCCCAGACAGCCAGGAUGUUGGCUUAGAAGCAGCCAUCAUUUAAAGAAAGCGUAAUAGCUCACUGGUCGAGUCGGCCUGCGCGGAAGAUGUAACGGGGCUAAACCAUGCACCGAAGCUGCGGCAGCGACGCUGAUGCGUUGUUGGGUAGGGGAGCGUUCUGUAAGCCUGCGAAGGUGGCCUGUGAGGGUUGCUGGAGGUAUCAGAAGUGCGAAUGCUGACAUAAGUAACGAUAAAGCGGGUGAAAAGCCCGCUCGCCGGAAGACCAAGGGUUCCUGUCCAACGUUAAUCGGGGCAGGGUGAGUCGACCCCUAAGGCGAGGCCGAAAGGCGUAGUCGAUGGGAAACGGGUUAAUAUUCCCGUACUUGGUGUUACUGCGAAGGGGGGACGGAGAAGGCUAUGUUGGCCGGGCGACGGUUGUCCCGGUUUAAGCGUGUAGGUGUGUGUUCCAGGUAAAUCCGGUUCACUUUAACACUGAGGCGUGACGACGAGGCACUACGGUGCUGAAGCAACAAAUGCCCUGCUUCCAGGAAAAGCCUCUAAGCAUCAGGUAACAUCAAAUCGUACCCCAAACCGACACAGGUGGUCAGGUAGAGAAUACCAAGGCGCUUGAGAGAACUCGGGUGAAGGAACUAGGCAAAAUGGUGCCGUAACUUCGGGAGAAGGCACGCUGACACGUAGGUGAAGUGAUUUACUCAUGGAGCUGAAGUCAGUCGAAGAUACCAGCUGGCUGCAACUGUUUAUUAAAAACACAGCACUGUGCAAACACGAAAGUGGACGUAUACGGUGUGACGCCUGCCCGGUGCCGGAAGGUUAAUUGAUGGGGUCAGCGCAAGCGAAGCUCCUGAUCGAAGCCCCGGUAAACGGCGGCCGUAACUAUAACGGUCCUAAGGUAGCGAAAUUCCUUGUCGGGUAAGUUCCGACCUGCACGAAUGGCGUAAUGAUGGCCAGGCUGUCUCCACCCGAGACUCAGUGAAAUUGAACUCGCUGUGAAGAUGCAGUGUACCCGCGGCAAGACGGAAAGACCCCGUGAACCUUUACUAUAGCUUGACACUGAACAUUGAGCCUUGAUGUGUAGGAUAGGUGGGAGGCUUUGAAGUGUGGACGCCAGUCUGCAUGGAGCCGACCUUGAAAUACCACCCUUUAAUGUUUGAUGUUCUAACGUGGACCCGUUACCCGGGUUGCGGACAGUGUCUGGUGGGUAGUUUGACUGGGGCGGUCUCCUCCUAAAGAGUAACGGAGGAGCACGAAGGUUGGCUAAUCCUGGUCGGACAUCAGGAGGUUAGUGCAAUGGCAUAAGCCAGCUUGACUGCGAGCGUGACGGCGCGAGCAGGUGCGAAAGCAGGUCAUAGUGAUCCGGUGGUUCUGAAUGGAAGGGCCAUCGCUCAACGGAUAAAAGGUACUCCGGGGAUAACAGGCUGAUACCGCCCAAGAGUUCAUAUCGACGGCGGUGUUUGGCACCUCGAUGUCGGCUCAUCACAUCCUGGGGCUGAAGUAGGUCCCAAGGGUAUGGCUGUUCGCCAUUUAAAGUGGUACGCGAGCUGGGUUUAGAACGUCGUGAGACAGUUCGGUCCCUAUCUGCCGUGGGCGCUGGAGAACUGAGGGGGGCUGCUCCUAGUACGAGAGGACCGGAGUGGACGCAUCACUGGUGUUCGGGUUGUCAUGCCAAUGGCACUGCCCGGUAGCUAAAUGCGGAAGAGAUAAGUGCUGAAAGCAUCUAAGCACGAAACUUGCCCCGAGAUGAGUUCUCCCUGAGACUUAGAGUCUCCUGAAGGAACGUUGAAGACGACGACGUUGAUAGGCCGGGUGUGUAAGCGCAGCGAUGCGUUGAGCUAACCGGUACUAAUGAACCGUGAGGCUUAACCUU
RNAcentral lists this ribosomal RNA (3008 nucleotides) under Salmonella enterica subsp. enterica serovar Mbandaka. RNAcentral describes it as "23S ribosomal RNA". It matches the Rfam family "Bacterial large subunit ribosomal RNA". The record is from RNAcentral. Lineage: Bacteria; Pseudomonadati; Pseudomonadota; Gammaproteobacteria; Enterobacterales; Enterobacteriaceae.